Molecule: ribosomal RNA, 417 nt
Filed under: Triticum aestivum (bread wheat)
Lineage: Eukaryota; Viridiplantae; Streptophyta; Magnoliopsida; Poales; Poaceae
Description: partial small subunit ribosomal RNA
Source: RNAcentral
AUGAGAAAGAGAGAAGAGAGAGUUGUGAGGACGAAGAAGAAGGGCGCUGCGGCGAGGAGGCGGCGCCAGCUCGAGGUAGAAGAACAAGCGGUGCCGCGAGAGGUGGCGCCAACACCACAGUUUCUGGACCAGACUCCGAGUCACAUUCCCGUGCUGGCCCGGGAGCCACCUGUGCAUGGUGGCACGUGGGUGCUGACGGCGUAUGACAUCCGGGAGUACAAGCAGCCGGAGGGCGGCGGUGGGUCGGAGUGCACGAUUUGCCUCGGUGAGGUGGAGAAGGGGGAUAUAGUGAAGCGGAUGCCGGUGUGCCUGCACAUGUUCCACCAGCAGUGCGUCGACCCGUGGCUGCACGAGCACUCGACCUGCCCGGUCUGCCGGUGCAACCUCUUCGCGCCGUUGCCUGCCCAAAUGGUAUGA